GUUUCCUUCUCCCCAUCAUCUUCAAGCAUCUCCACAAACUUGAAAGUGGAGCUUGAAAUUGGAUGGUCUGUGGUGGCCGGCCAUUGCUGUUCCUGCCAGCCCAUGAUGGAUAUAAAUAGCUGCUCGCCUCCCUGUGAAAACUGACUUGGGAGGCUGAAGGAAAGGCCACCGUUGGAGGAGCAGAAGGCCUCAGGAACUCCUGAAGAGACACAUUGGUGUGGCCUUGGUGGCACCUGGCUGGACCUGCAGCUGCCCUUCAACCCCAAGGCACUGGGAGGCGUGGAGAGCAGGUUGUGGUGCCUUGGAGCUCAUCUCCAGCAGCAGCGAGUGGCUGAUAAUUGGGGAAAAAAUGUGAGAAAGCAUAUAUUGUGUGAUCCCCAAGGUUUGUGCUGCUGGUAUUUCUAAAGCUAGCAUUUAUCUGCAGGCUGUCUGCCUUGGUUGCUGCUGGUGGGUCUGUCUGCCUUGAAAUCGGU
Numida meleagris (helmeted guineafowl) is the source of this 473-nucleotide long non-coding RNA. RefSeq lists it as uncharacterized. NCBI's taxonomy places the organism in Eukaryota, Metazoa, Chordata, Aves, Galliformes, Numididae. The record is from RefSeq and is a predicted model, not a curated record. The transcript is spliced from 3 exons.